RNAcentral lists this transfer RNA (74 nucleotides) under Loxodonta africana (African savanna elephant). It matches the Rfam family "tRNA". Rfam says of the family: Transfer RNA (tRNA) molecules are approximately 80 nucleotides in length. Their secondary structure includes four short double-helical elements and three loops (D, anti-codon, and T loops). The record is from Rfam by way of RNAcentral. Lineage: Eukaryota; Metazoa; Chordata; Mammalia; Proboscidea; Elephantidae.
CCCUAGGUGGUGCAAAUGGUUAGCAUGCUCAGCUCCUAACAGAAAGGUUGGAGGUUCAAGUCCACCCCAAGGCA